RNAcentral lists this long non-coding RNA (469 nucleotides) under Sus scrofa (pig). RNAcentral's name for it is "lncRNA (ENSSSCG00060002882.1)". The record is from RNAcentral. Lineage: Eukaryota; Metazoa; Chordata; Mammalia; Artiodactyla; Suidae.
CUCCUGAAGGAUUCGACUCCUCUCUUGAGACCUCCUGCUCCAGGCCAGCUCUUCGUGCGUGGCCCUCCACACCCCCCUAAAGUUAACCCCCUACGCAGGGCUGGGAGGGCUAAAAGUCAGUACCUGCCCCAGACCCAAUUCCUGAACGUUCCUCCUGCGAUUGUUAGGGGUGCCUGGGCUUGCUCCGAAGACUUUAAAUAAAGGAUUUGGAUAUACAGAGCUUACUUCUUAACGUCAUUGUGAGGAUUAAGGGAUAACACACGGAAGCACUCAGAACAAUGCCUGAUACAUCAGGAUGGAUGAAAAUUAUAACCUCUUACCUCAUGGAGUUAAUUUCCAAGGUGCCAUCUUCUGAGACACUCAAGAGAACAGAAGAAGGUUUUCUAGCUCGUUCCAGUUUUCAAAUCGUUCCCAAGGGCAGCAACUGGUGACUUUUUCCAGUGACUGGGAGAUCCAAGAAGAAAAUAGG